GUGCCAGCAGCCGCGGUAAAACGUAGGGGGCGAGCGUUGCCCGGAUUCACUGGGCGUAAAGCGCGUGUAGGCGGUUCGUUAAGUCGGAUGUGAAAUCCAGCGGCUCAACCGCUGAAUUGCAUCCGAUACUGGCGAACUUGAGGACGGUAGAGGUCGGUGGAAUUCCCGGUGUACCGGUGAAAUGGGCAGAUAUCGGGAGGAACACCAGUGGCGAAGGCGGCCGACUGGGCCGAUCCUGACGCUGAGACGCGAAAGCCAGGGGAGCGAACCGGAUUAGAAACCCCGGUAGUCC
Molecule: ribosomal RNA, 292 nt
Filed under: uncultured bacterium
Lineage: Bacteria
Description: partial 16S ribosomal RNA
Rfam family: Bacterial small subunit ribosomal RNA
Source: RNAcentral